Photinus pyralis (common eastern firefly) is the source of this 783-nucleotide long non-coding RNA. RefSeq lists it as uncharacterized. The record is from RefSeq and is a predicted model, not a curated record. The transcript is spliced from 2 exons. NCBI's taxonomy places the organism in Eukaryota, Metazoa, Arthropoda, Insecta, Coleoptera, Lampyridae.
UUUUAUAAGGUCAAGUGUAUAAAUCGAUUAUAAAUAACACCGUUAAGUCAUAAUUAUUGGAUGACGGUUGAUGGAGCCUGUUGAAACUUAAACUUGUCUUCGUGCUUAUUUUAUUUUCGUUGCUUUAUUAAUUUUCUGCGUUGUAUCAAUUAUAUAUUAGCCACUGCUUACCUAUAGGUACUUCAGUUCUAAUUUUGAUUUUCGGAUUAAAUAGUGUAACUUAUAAAAAGUGAGUGGGAAUUUCCCGUCUCUUAACAUAAUUAUUUCGUAGCCUACAUACCACACUUCAUCUGAUCCCCAUAAUGAAAACAGCAUUGCUAGUAGUAAUCACGAUAUUAGGCGUGGUUGGAGCGAAUGGAGAGUACUUUCAUCAUCCGAAUGGAGCUAUAAGUUUUUAUAAGCAAGAUGUAAAUCUCCCAUUCGUUUAUACUUAUUAUAUAACUCCCAAGCAACAUUCCAACAAUCUUGGCUAUUUUCAAAGUCCACUAAGAACAGGAAAUCAAUUUGUUCAGGUAUUAAACCAAAAAUUGAUGACGAAUGGAGAUUCAACAAGAUUUUCGAAAUUUGCUAAUGGCAAACCGUUGCUGAAUGUAGCCUCCAAGAACGAUUUUGUCGUUUCGAACAAACAAAUUGAAGCGUAUAAUGAUUACAUUAGAGACCAAGAGCAAGAAGAAAAUGUACGUAAAUAGUAAGCAACAUUAGAAUUAAAUACUGUUUGGAUUAUGAUAUGAUCUAUAUCUUUGUAUUGCAGUUAAUUGCAUUUAAUAAAGAGUUGUACCUACA